Molecule: ribosomal RNA, 246 nt
Filed under: uncultured bacterium
Lineage: Bacteria
Description: partial 16S ribosomal RNA
Rfam family: Bacterial small subunit ribosomal RNA
Source: RNAcentral
CGUAGGCGCAAGCGUUAUCCGGAAUUAUUGGGCGUAAGAGCUCGUAGGCGGUUGUCGCGUCUAUCGUGAAGUCCGAGGCUCAACCUCGGAUCUGCGGUGGUACGGCAGACUAGAGUGAUGUAGGGAGACUGGAAUUCCUGGUGUAGCGGUGAAAUGCGCAGAUAUCAGGAGGAACACCGAUGGCGAAGGCAGGUCUCUGGGCAUUAACUGACGCUGAGGAGCGAAAGCAUGGGAGCGAACAGGAUU